RNAcentral lists this ribosomal RNA (399 nucleotides) under uncultured bacterium. Its description in RNAcentral is "bacterial SSU rRNA". It matches the Rfam family "Bacterial small subunit ribosomal RNA", at positions 64 to 507 of the family's 1533-position model. The record is from RNAcentral.
GAGCGCCGUAGCAAUACGGAGCGGCAGUACGGGAGUAGUCACACGUGGGAACGUGCCCUUCAGUUCGGAACAACCCAGGGAAACUUGGGCUAAUACCGGAUACGUCCGUAAGGAGAAAGAUUUAUCGCUGAAGGAUCGGCCCGCGUCUGAUUAGCUUGUUGGUGGGGUAAUGGCCCACCAAGGCGACGAUCGAUAGCUGGUCUGAGAGGACGAUCAGCCACACUGGGACUGAGACACGGCCCAGACUCCUACGGGAGGCAGCAGUUGGGAAUCUUGGACAAUGGGGGAAACCCUGAUCCAGCCAUGCCGCGUGAGUGAUGAAGGCCUUAGGGUUGUAAAACUCUUUCGGCGGGGACGAUAAUGACGGUACCCGCAGAAGAAGCUCCGGCUAACUUCGUG